UCCUGAGUGUGUACUGUGCGGGCGU
This 25-nucleotide microRNA is filed under the name Equus caballus (horse). RNAcentral describes it as "eca-miR-8971". The record is from miRBase by way of RNAcentral. Lineage: Eukaryota; Metazoa; Chordata; Mammalia; Perissodactyla; Equidae.